UGGGACGUCAAUCAAUUCAGCGACAGCUACCACCCCAUGACAUGUGUUGAAGAGUGGUGUGCGGCGAAGUUUGGACAUGUGCGAACUUUUCGUUGAACAUCGUUAGCCACAGACGAUAUUUUGCUAUCGUCUCAAUGUUCGAGUGCCAAGGCCACAAUGCCAUUACGACCUUAGGGCCCGAGGCACGAUACGAGGCAGUUCGAAAUAUGGUGGAAUUAAUAAACCUGUUGUCGCGGCAAGCUGGAGUUGCCGUUCGUUUGGCCUAGAUGACAUGGGUGACUGACGCUCAGUGUCCUCGCCUCCCAUCAGGAUUCUUCAACCAACUCCGCCAGAGCUUCUGACGGCAGUAAGGGAGGGAGAGGGCGCUUCACAUUUAUCCUGCCCCGGGCGCAAACUCCUGACGGCAACUCAAACUCCUGGCGCAAACUCCGGGCGCGCCGUCCUCCGGACGGCUCUGAUCCUGACCACAUACUCUGUAUGUCACUGACUUUCA
This is a long non-coding RNA of Ornithodoros turicata, 493 nucleotides long. RefSeq lists it as uncharacterized. The record is from RefSeq and is a predicted model, not a curated record. Lineage: Eukaryota; Metazoa; Arthropoda; Arachnida; Ixodida; Argasidae. The transcript is spliced from 4 exons.